CAUAAUAAGUGUUUUAUGGCACUUUUUAAAUCCAUAUCCACCUUGUGUGCAAUGUCAGUCGAUCUUCUUCAUGGAGAUCGACCAAACAUCAACCUUUAUUUUUUAACUCUUUGUCUGAAAAAUAUUAUGAAUAAACAAUUCAAAAUA
Molecule: unclassified non-coding RNA, 147 nt
Filed under: soil metagenome
Description: partial internal transcribed spacer 1
Source: RNAcentral